GACGAACGCUGGCGGCGCGCUUAACACAUGCAAGUCGAGCGAUGAAAUCUUGACAGAUCCCUUCGGGGUGAAGAUAAGAUGGAUUAGCGGCGGACGGGUGAGUAACACGUGAGUAACCUGCCUUAGACAUUGGGAUAGCCUCGGGAAACCGGGAUUAAUACCAAAUGAAAUCAUAGGUGCCCAUGCACUAAUGAUCAAAACUCCGGUGGUCUAAGAUGGACUCGCGUCCCAUUAGCUAGUUGGUGAGGUAAUGGCCCACCAAGGCGACGAUGGGUAGCCGGCCUGAGAGGGUGAACGGCCACAUUGGAACUGAGAAACGGUCCAAACUCCUACGGGAGGCAGCAGUGGGGAAUAUUGCACAAUGGAGGGAACUCUGAUGCAGCGACGCCGCGUGAACGAUGAAGGCUUUCGAGUCGUAAAGUUCUUUUAUAUGGGAAGAUAAUGACGGUAGCAUAAGAAAAAGCCCCGGCUAACUACGUG
RNAcentral lists this ribosomal RNA (480 nucleotides) under uncultured bacterium. RNAcentral describes it as "partial 16S ribosomal RNA". It matches the Rfam family "Bacterial small subunit ribosomal RNA", at positions 28 to 507 of the family's 1533-position model. The record is from RNAcentral.